RNAcentral lists this ribosomal RNA (460 nucleotides) under uncultured bacterium. RNAcentral describes it as "partial 16S ribosomal RNA". It matches the Rfam family "Bacterial small subunit ribosomal RNA", at positions 338 to 795 of the family's 1533-position model. The record is from RNAcentral.
CCUACGGGUGGCAGCAGUGAGGAAUAUUGGUCAAUGGGCGCGAGCCUGAACCAGCCAAGUAGCGUGAAGGAUGACUGCCCUACGGGUUGUAAACUUCUUUUAUAAAGGAAUAAAGUGAGGCACGUGUGCCUUUUUGUAUGUACUUUAUGAAUAAGGAUCGGCUAACUCCGUGCCAGCAGCCGCGGUAAUACGGAGGAUCCGAGCGUUAUCCGGAUUUAUUGGGUUUAAAGGGUGCGUAGAUGGUUUGUUAAGUUAGUUGUGAAAUGUUGCGGCUGAACCGUAGAACUGCAUUUGAUACUGUCAGUCUUGAGUAGAGUUGAGGUAGGUGGAAUGCGUGGUGUAGCGGUGAAAUGCUUAGAUAUCACGAAGAACUCCGAUUGCGAAGGCAGCUUACUAAACUGCCACUGACAUUGAUGCACGAAAGUGUGGGGAGCAAACAGGAUUAGAUACCCCUGUAGUC